GAUGAACGCUGGCGGCGUGCUUAACACAUGCAAGUCGAGCGAGCGGAACCAACAGAUUUACUUCGGUAAUGACGUUGGGAAAGCGAGCGGCGGAUGGGUGAGUAACACGUGGGGAACCUGCCCCUAAGUCUGGGAUACCAUUUGGAAACUGGUGCUAAUACCGGAUAAUAAAGCAGAUCGCAUGAUCAGCUUUUGAAAGGCGGCGUAAGCUGUCGCUAAGGGAUGGCCCCGCGGUGCAUUAGCUAGUUGGUAAGGUAACGGCUUACCAAGGCGACGAUGCAUAGCCGAGUUGAGAGACUGAUCGGCCACAUUGGGACUGAGACACGGCCCAA
Molecule: ribosomal RNA, 332 nt
Filed under: uncultured bacterium
Lineage: Bacteria
Description: bacterial SSU rRNA
Rfam family: Bacterial small subunit ribosomal RNA
Source: RNAcentral